GUCCACGCCCUAAACGAUGUAUACUUGGUUGCGGCGGCUUUGACGCCGUCGUGGCCGGAGCAAAAGUGUUAAGUAUACCGCCUGGGGAGUACGGUCGCAAGGCUAAAACUCAAAGAAAUUGACGGGGCUCACACAAGCGGUGGAGCAUGUGGCUUAAUUCGAAGCAACGCGCAGAACCUUACCAGGGCUUGACAUGUACGGAUUAGUGGGGUGAAAGCCUCAUGACGCUCGCAAGAGUGGAACGUACACAGGUGCUGCAUGGCUGUCGU
This 269-nucleotide ribosomal RNA is filed under the name uncultured bacterium. Its description in RNAcentral is "partial 16S ribosomal RNA". It matches the Rfam family "Bacterial small subunit ribosomal RNA", at positions 793 to 1055 of the family's 1533-position model. The record is from RNAcentral.